This 680-nucleotide long non-coding RNA is filed under the name Nicotiana tabacum (common tobacco). Its description in RNAcentral is "long non-coding RNA (NTAB_LNC019365)". Lineage: Eukaryota; Viridiplantae; Streptophyta; Magnoliopsida; Solanales; Solanaceae. The record is from RNAcentral.
AUCAAAAUAGGAACAAUAUUAUUCACACAUAUAAAAAUUCAAAUCACCCAAAACAUAUUGCCAAAAGCAUUAAUUGCACGAGCAAAUUAUUUUCUUAUUUCAUUCUUAUGUAGAAAUCCAUCACACAAGUCGUCUCUUCUCCGCAUUUUGCUUUAAGUCAUGGCUGGUCGACGGCGGCGGCGAACGGAACGGCACAAGCGCAAACACAACAGGACGGUGUAUUUGGUUGGCAACAGUUGCAAUUGUUACAUGGUGGUUCCUUAAACCCAAGUUCUGCACCAAUUAUGAUCAUAUCGUCAGUUGUUUAUGGUUGUAAAUUAUAGUUGUCCAAUAUUCUAUUCGUUUUAAUUUAUGUGAUAUUGUUUGACAGAACACAUAGUUUAAGAAAGAAAAAAAUAUUGUUUCAAAUGUAUGGUCUAAAACAAGUCAUAAAUAUUUGUGUGACUAUAAAUUAAUAAUUAAGUAUAAAUAAUAAUUAAACUUAAAUUAUUUAUAAGUAUAGAAGAAGAUGUCAUCCUUGUUGGAACAAAUUAAAACGGAAAGUGUGCAACAUAAAAUGGGACGGAGGGAGUAAUACUAACAUACCUCGACGAGUCAGUCCGGCGGCGUUGGUGGGAACAGCCGGAGAUAGAACUAGCAUAAAGAUGAUGAUAGUCGCCAGAAGAGUUUUCUCAGAAUUC